This 2684-nucleotide long non-coding RNA is filed under the name Sus scrofa (pig). RNAcentral's name for it is "lncRNA (ENSSSCG00030004747.1)". Lineage: Eukaryota; Metazoa; Chordata; Mammalia; Artiodactyla; Suidae. The record is from RNAcentral.
UUUUUCUUUUUUUUGUCUUUUGUCUUUUUAGGGCCGCACCCAAGGCAUGUGGAGGUUCCCAGGCUAGGCGUCAAAUUGGAGCUGUAGCUGCAGGCCUAGGCCACAGGGAUCAGAGCCGAGUCUGCGACCUAUACCACAGCUCACGGCAAUGCCAGACCCUUAACCCACUGAGCGAGGCCAGGAUUGAACCUAAGUGCUCAUGGAUACUAGUUGGGUUUGUUAACCACUGAGCCACAGCGGGAACUCCCUUGUAAUUUUAUUUUUGAUUUUGUGAGGAACCUGCAUACUGUUUUCCCUAGCAGCUGCCUCAUUUUACAAUCCACCAGUAGUGCACAGGGUUCCAGUUUCUUUACAGCCUUGCCAACACUUAAAAAAAGACAGGGGUUCCCGUCAUGGCUCAGUGGUUAACGAAUCCUACUAUGAACCAUGAGGUGGCAGGUUCAAUCCCUGGCCUUGCUCAGUGGGUUAAGGAUCUAGCGUUGUAGUGAGCUGUGCUGUAGGUCACAGAUGCGGCUUGGAUCUAGCAUUGCUGUGGCUCUGGCAUAGGCUGGCGGCUACGCUCCAAUUUGACCCCUAGCCUGGGAACCUCCAUAUGCAAUGGGUGUGGCCCUGAAAAGACAAAAACAAAAAAACAAACAAACAAAAAAAACAGAAGAGUAGCCACACUAUCUGGUAUGAGGUGAGAGUUCAUUGUGGUUUUGAUUUGCAUUACUUUGAUAACUGUGAUGUUGAGCAUCUUUUCAUUUGUAUAUCAUCUUUGGAGAAAUAUCUAUUCAAGUCCUUUACCCAUUUUUUAAUCAGGUUAUUUGAUUUUUUUGUUGUUGACUUCUCAAAUCCUGAUGUGUGGUUUCCACAGUAGUCAGUAAGGGACAGGGUAUUCACAACAGUUGCACAUGUUAACUGAGGAAAUUGUGCAGUAUUAAUUCAUAUUACUUUAAAUUUGUGAUAUGAUGGUCUAGCACUAACAUGCAUGAAGCACGAAAAUGAUUAUUUUGGUAAGUAGGCAGACAGCAUGAUAGAAUUGUGAAAAGUUUCUUUUCUAUCAAAGUAAGUAAUAAGGUCUAAUCAAAAUUCAACAUUUGUAUUGCUAUCAGCUUUAAUUAUCAAAUUUAAACUAUUAUGUUCAUUAUUAAGAAUUUAUAUUUUGCCUUUUAUCAUUUUGAAUGUAUUAGGAGGAAAGUGAUAUUCUGGAAACAUGAAAAGUAACUUUAUGUUUUUGAUUUUUACAUGUACUUUAGUUUACACUUUGGUAAAAUAAAUAUUCCUACAUUUUGUAUAGUUACACUUUAAAUGCAAUUACAUUUUAUUAAAAUUUUUCUAAUAUGAAUAGAACACAAAUUAUGUAAAAAUACUGACUGUAACUACAUCAUUAAUGACUCGGCCAAAGUGAAAGCGAGAAAGUAAUUUGUGAAAAAAAUAUUUAUAAUAAUGAAGUAUGCUUGCAUUUAUUAUUCAUCCAAAUAAUACUGACCCCUGGAUAUGUCCAAUAAGAACUAAAUUCCAUCAUAUUAGAUAUCUUACAAACUUUCAGUCAUACCAUACAAAAAACCCCAUACCUUGAAGUUCCCAUUAUGGCUCAGAGGAAAUGAAUAUAACUAGUAUACAUCAGCACACAGGUUCCAUCCCUGGUCCUGCUCAGUGGGUUGGGGAUCUGGUGUUGCCUUGAGCUGUGGUGUAGGUGGCAGAUGUGACUUGGAUCUGGCAUUGCUAUGGCUAGAGCGUAGUCUGGAAGCUGUAGCUCUGACUCAACCCUUGGCCUGAGAACUUCCAUAUGCUGCGGGUGCAGCCUUAAAAAGACAAAAAAAAAAAAAAAAAAAGAAAAAAAAAAANAAAGGAAACCAUACCCUGAGGCAUACUUUAAAAAUUUUGUUAUGAAGAUAUUCUUGAGAUAAAUAUAUGAAAUAUUUUAUAUAACAGUAUUAACAGAUUUAUAUCUUUUAAAUCUCUCUCUAUAUAUGUAUCUAUAUAUCAAGGUGGUAUAUAUUUCCCUCUGCUUUGCAAAUGCCAAGUGUAGCCUUAUACUUUUGUGCCUCUAACCAUGGUAGAAGGUGAGCUAGAGGAUAAAACAAUGGCUAGCAUUUACUGAGCACUUACGGUAGGCCAGGCACUGUGCUAAGUGCUUACACACACUAUCUCAGCAAAUCCAACAAUAACCGAUUUUAUAGAUUUAAAAACUGAGUCUCAGAUGGCCCAUGUGCUUUGCAUGAGGCCACCCUGCUAGUUAGUGGCUGAGCUGGGGACCAUGUCUUAUCCACCCAACUCCAAAAUCAGAACUUCUAACCUGAGCCUCACAAACAUAGGUUUGUCCUGAGGGAACCAGUAUGUAGUUCCUGCAGGGGUACCGAGCAGGAUCCUCAGAGUUUCAUUUUCUUUCAUUUUGGCCCAAGGCAGAAAAUUUGUUAGCUGUAUCUGAUUGUUCACCUGGGGACUCCACAGAACAAGGACUCACCCAGGUCCUAUUCAUCUAGGCCUGUCUCUCACUCAGUCUUAGGGGCUGGCCCUAGGGAGGGGUUCCACAUGGCUGCAGCAAGUGGCUUUUAUGCUCAGAUCUGCCAAAGCUGGUGUCUUUCUUUUCCUCUGUUCUCUUUUGUGCCUGGGCUUCAAAUCUCCCAGGGCCAAGAUGAAACACUGUUUCAUCCUCCUCCCAUGUGUGAAGAAGAAUAAAAGAUAGCUCUUCUUGGCUC